RNAcentral lists this transfer RNA (83 nucleotides) under Lentisphaerota bacterium. Its description in RNAcentral is "Lentisphaerae bacterium (anaerobic digester metagenome) tRNA-Leu". It matches the Rfam family "tRNA". From Rfam's summary of the family: Transfer RNA (tRNA) molecules are approximately 80 nucleotides in length. Their secondary structure includes four short double-helical elements and three loops (D, anti-codon, and T loops). Lineage: Bacteria; Pseudomonadati; Lentisphaerota. The record is from RNAcentral.
GCCUGGGUGGCGGAAUGGCAGACGCAACGGACUUAAAAUCCGUUGGCCGCAAGGCCGUAUGGGUUCGACUCCCAUCCCAGGCA